Molecule: ribosomal RNA, 253 nt
Filed under: uncultured bacterium
Lineage: Bacteria
Description: partial 16S ribosomal RNA
Rfam family: Bacterial small subunit ribosomal RNA
Source: RNAcentral
UACGUAGGGACCAAGCGUUGUUCGGAUUUACUGGGCGUAAAGGGCGCGUAGGCGGCGCGGUAAGUCACUCGUGAAAUCUCUGAGCUUAACUCAGAACGGCCAAGUGAUACUGCAGUGCUAGAGUGUGGAAGGGGCAAUCGGAAUUCUUGGUGUAGCGGUGAAAUGCGUAGAUAUCAAGAGGAACACCUGAGGUGAAGACGGGUUGCUGGGCCAACACUGACGCUGAGGCGCGAAAGCCAGGGGAGCAAACGGG